UGUCAAAUCAAAGUUGUAUUCAUAUUAAAAAAUAAGCCUUUCAAAUAGGCUUUGAAAGAAACAAAGUAAACCCUAAAUACCCUAGGUAAAACAGGCCACACAAUAAAAAGUUCUAUGGUGGCCGAAAUUCUCACUCCUUUUCUAAUCUAAUUUGGAUUAAUUAAUUCCUUUAUUUUGAAUUAGGAAUUAAUUAAUUUACAAUGAAAAUAAUAAAAUAAUAACUUUCCUAAACUUAUUUUUCCAGAAAAUAAACAAAUAAAAACUAAAAAGUAAUGGUAAUUGCCUAAAACAAAAAGUAGAAUCAAAUUAGGAAACUAUAAUACUAGCUUUUUGACUAAGUUGACUUUGACCAAUCUUUGACCAAAUUGAGCUCCAAAUCAGCUUCUAGAUGCUUUGUAGGAUACCAAAUAAACUGAAUAUGAAGGCCCGCACGUUGCCCAUGCUUGGAAAAAUAAGAAAAGGCUAAUACAGUAAAAUACAAUAAAACCAGCAAGCAAUACAGCAAAUUCGGCCAAAUUGUUGAAGCUGUCCGUACAAGCCCUUUUUGAUUUCAUUUGAGGCUGCUUUAACUUGAUUCCAUGGCCUCUUAGGCAUAUGUAUUGAACCCAUAAAGCAUUGGAACCAUUUCAUGCUUCUCGGACUCCAAAAAUGUACCAAAACCGUCACCCGGGUCCGUAUCGGCUUCCCCCACUUGGAUGCUUAGAAUAGGCUUUGUAUCUUCAAGUAUGGACAAGCUAUGUUGAGAUUGAUUACCCCCUAUAUAAAUACUUCCAGUUUGUCCUUAAAUCUCUUAAUUUGAGCUCUUGUGAUUGGCCUAGUCUUCAUCCGUGUCGAGUCAGCACCCCAGCGGGUUAUCGGUUGAGCGGGCUCGGGCGGAAUCACAUCAUCACGUUUUUAAAUUCCAUUCCCCUAGGUCCAGGUUAGGAGUCGUUGAUCAUCCGAGGCGAACUCGAAGUCUCAGUUCAUUGCCGAAAGUCUAAAAAUCAUUUCCUUCCUUUUUCCUCUUCAUCUUGUAUUGCUUCCUUAUCUGUCAUUGUAUUAAUUCCACAUUUAUUUGUAUAAUGCUCGGUAUACUGUAUUGAACUUUUAGUUAUUAAUUAUGCACUGAUUUAAUGUUAUUCAUUUGGAAUGCUGCAAAUUUGUGGAAUUAUAUUGUAGUAACAUGGGAGGAAUAAGGGGAUGUUUAUAGAAGUGUGUUUCAGUGCAGGAAAUUUAUGGUAAGUUCAACGCUUAAGGGAGAUUCUGCCGGAUUUUUCAUUGGGGGAUUCGGUAGGGUUUCCCUGGGAUCAGGGCUUGUCUAGGGUUCCGAUGAGGAAUUUUGGACGGGUCUUGACAGAAGCACCGGCAAUAGCAAUGGUAGACGAACCAGAAGCCCUAAAAACUUAAAGGGUUCCUUCGUAAGGUUCAUCCACAUAGGGUGAGUCAGGGCCUAAGAUUAGGCCAAAAGGCAUAGUCAAUGGACAAUAGAUGAAUAUUCCUGUACUAACCCUUGUUGGCCCUGAGGGACAGACGAGGCUAGGUUAGCCGAAAGAUGGUUAUUGGUUUAAGGACACAAGGUGCCACUGCUUUUUGACGGUAAUAAGGGGUAGAGAAAAUGCCCUGAGCCAAUGUUCAAGUACCAGGCGCUACAAUGCUGAAGUAACCCAUGCCAUACUCCUAGGAAAAGCUCAAAAGACCCUUAACAAAAUGGUACCAGUACCCGAAACUGACACAGGUGGGUAGGUAGAGAAUACCUAAGGGUGUGAGACAACUUUCUCUAAGGAACUGUGACCAGGCCGGGUGACUUUUUACCAAAACGUAGGUCUCCGGAAAGUCAUCAGACCAUGUAUAGGGGCUAACACCUGCCCAGUACCGAAAGAUCAAGGAAGUUGGUAACCUAAUGACAGGGGAGGCGGUGAUUAAAGCCCUGGUGAACGAUGGUCGUAACUAUAACAGUACUAAGGUAGCGAAAUUCCUUUUCGGGUAAGUUUUGACCCCCACGAAAGGUGUAACGAUCUAGGCACUGUCUCAGAGAGAGGCUCGGGCAAAUACACAUGUCUAUCAAGAUGCAGACUACCUGCACCUUGAUAGAAAGACACUAUGAAUCUUCACUGUUCCCUAGGAUAGGCUUUGGGCCUUUCCAGUGUAGCUUAGGUGGAGGGCGAAGAAGGCCUCCUUCCGAUGGGCCCAAGGCAUCAGUGAGAUACCACUCUGGCAGAGCUAGAAUUCUAACCUUGUGUAAAGACCUACGGGCCAAGGUACAAACCUAGGUAGACAGUUUCUAUGGGGCGUAUGCCUCUUAAAAGGUAACGGAGGCAUGCAAAGGUUUCUUCAGGCCAGACGGAGAUUAGCCUUUGAGUGCAAAGGCAAAAGGGAGCUUGACUGCAAGACCCACUUGUAUAGCAGGGACAAAAGUUGGCUUUAGUAAUCCGACAGUGCCCAGUGAAAGGGCGAUUGCUCAACAGAUAAAAGUUACUCUAGCGAUAACAGGCUGAUCUUCAAUAAGAGCUCACAUCAAUAGAAAGGUUUGGCACCUCGAUGUCGGCUGUUCGCCACCUAGGAUUGCAAUAUGUUCUAAGGGUUGGGCUGUUUGCCCAUUAAAGCAGUACGUGAGCUAGGUUCAAAACAUCAUGGGACAUUUUGGUCCAUAUCCGGUGUGGGCAUUAGAGCAUUAAAAGGGUUUUUCCUUAGCACGAGAGGACUAGGAAGGACGCACAUCUAGUGUAGAAGUUAUCUUGCCCACAGUAAAUGCUGGGUAGCCAAGUGCGGAGUGGAUAACUGCUGAAAGCAUCUAAGUAGUAAGCCCACACCAAGAUGAGUGUCUCCUAUUCUAACUUUCCUAGAGCUUCCAGUAGCACAACCAAGACAGCGAUGGGUUUUUUGCCCUUGUGGGGGUAGAGCGACAGAAGUUUUGAGAAUUCGAGAGUAGGUCAUGGCAAGACGAGCCAUUUAUCAUUACGAUAGGUGUUAAGUGGAGAUGCAGUGAUGUAUGCAAUUGAGGCAUCCUAACAAACCAGUAGAGUUGAAC
This 3007-nucleotide ribosomal RNA is filed under the name Ziziphus jujuba (common jujube). Its description in RNAcentral is "bacterial LSU rRNA". The stretch from base 1222 to 3007 matches the Rfam family "Bacterial large subunit ribosomal RNA". The record is from RNAcentral. Lineage: Eukaryota; Viridiplantae; Streptophyta; Magnoliopsida; Rosales; Rhamnaceae.